CUAGCGACCCCCUCUCCUGCGACCCUAUCGGAUAGUAAUGAUGCCGCGCCAGUGCAUUGAACCGAAACCUGGGAGAGAUCGAAACGAGGCUGCGUCAUCGAUUAAAUCACCCUCCCUCUCGCUGUUAUAAGCUCUCCUCUAGCUCGUCCUCAUCCAAAAUCAACCUCCCAUUUACUUCCCUUUCCCCUAAAACUCUUGCUCCACCAAAGGAAAUUGAGAUCGCGUCGCCGUCGGGUGUCGAACACCUGGUGAGCGAGGGGUUGCACCGCUGCCGCAGGGCCUCUCGCCCGGUGUGGGUGGCGGGAUGUGGAGAGGAGGUGCUCGUGUUGCCAUUGCUGCUGUUGGAGGGAGUCGGGAGCUGCUGAACAAGGAAAACCGGGCGUCGAACAUCUGCGACCAUCGCCGACCGCCGGCUGCCCCUUUUUCGACCACACCGCACCACGCGCCAUCAAACUUCGCCGUUCCGCCACUCCGUGAUAUCCGAGGGAAUUGUUGAGUCGAUUGAGGAGCAGGGACAGCAAGACUGUGAUCCAGGAAGUGGAUGGCAAUGAAGUCGAGGAGGAUCCCUAUGCUUAUCUUUAGGAGGAUGCAGAGGAUGACGGCGCUCUGUAGGUCUUAGUUACGGUCGUUGCCUGUGGCAAUGACAUGGCCGCUGCCUUAUCUAUUUCUGCUUUGGCAUGUAUUCCGGACCGUUCGGUCCUAUGUUCUAGUCAAUGCCUGCGGGCCUAUGAUGUAAUAAUUUAUGCUAGACAAUCUUUGUAUGUGUACUUGGUAUUUCAGCAAUGUAACAUGAGUGAUUCCUGUUAUAAAAAUGGGGGACGACAGUGCUAUGCCACGAUAUUCAUGGGAUCCAAA
This is a long non-coding RNA of Oryza sativa Japonica Group (Japanese rice), 855 nucleotides long. RefSeq lists it as uncharacterized. Lineage: Eukaryota; Viridiplantae; Streptophyta; Magnoliopsida; Poales; Poaceae. The record is from RefSeq and is a predicted model, not a curated record.